This 774-nucleotide ribosomal RNA is filed under the name uncultured Neocallimastigales. Its description in RNAcentral is "partial large subunit ribosomal RNA". It matches the Rfam family "Eukaryotic large subunit ribosomal RNA", at positions 24 to 645 of the family's 3401-position model. The record is from RNAcentral. Lineage: Eukaryota; Fungi; Neocallimastigomycota; Neocallimastigomycetes; Neocallimastigales.
UAUCUCUGUAGAGUCUGCAUAUCAAUAAGCGGAGGAAAAGAAACUAACAAGGAUUCCCUUAGUAACGGCGAGUGAAGCGGGAAGAGCUCAAAUUUGAAAUCUUCAAGGUUUUACCUUGACGAAUUGUAGUUUAAAGAAGUGUUUUCUGUUGAAGUUUCGGUAAAAGUUCUUUGGAAUAGGACAUCAUAGAGGGUGAGAAUCCCGUAUUUGACCGUUAUUUUCAGCUGUGUGAUACACUUUCAAAGAGUCGGAUUGUUUGGGAAUGCAGUCCAAAAUGGGUGGUAAAUUUCAUCUAAAGCUAAAUAUUGGCGAGAGACCGAUAGCGAACAAGUACCGUGAGGGAAAGAUGAAAAGAACUUUGAAAAGAGAGUUAAACAGUACGUGAAAUUGUCAAAAGGGAAGCGUUUGACACCAGUGUUGUUUUCUCGAAAAUCAAUUAAAAAUGGCGGGAUUUUGUGUUGUAUUGACUUUAUCAGCUUUCUGCACUUUUUUCCUGUCUUUUUUAAUGCACUUUUCGUUUAACAAGUCAACAUCAAUUUCUUUUGUUGUAAAAGGGUCAUUGGAAGGUGGCUUUCUUUUCGGAGAAAGUGUUUAUAGCCUUUGGCUUCUGCAAUCGGAGAGAUUGAGGUCUGCAGCGUAGAUCCUUCGGGGUUAGAUACAUUGGUGCUAAGCUAUAGCCUUGUAUAGACAACUUGUUGACUAUGCUCAGUCAUGUAGCUUACUCGCCGAUGCUAUUUUACCUACGCUUAGGAUGUUGAUCUCUCACAGUCGAGC